CGGGGCGUAGCUUAGCCUGGUAGAGCGCCUGGUUUGGGACCAGGAGGUCGAAGGUUCGAAUCCUUUCGCCCCGACCA
This 77-nucleotide transfer RNA is filed under the name Verrucomicrobia bacterium TMED71. RNAcentral describes it as "tRNA-Pro". It matches the Rfam family "tRNA". Rfam says of the family: Transfer RNA (tRNA) molecules are approximately 80 nucleotides in length. Their secondary structure includes four short double-helical elements and three loops (D, anti-codon, and T loops). Lineage: Bacteria; Pseudomonadati; Verrucomicrobiota. RNAcentral also lists the same sequence under 7 other names. The record is from RNAcentral.